UGCGUAGGCGGUCUGGUGCGUCCGCGCUGAAAUCGCCCGGCUUAACCGGGCGCGGCGUGCGGAUACGACCAGGCUUGAGGCUCGGAGAGGGUGGUGGAACUCCUGGUGUAGUGGUGAAAUGCGUAGAGAUCAGGAAGAACACCCGUGGCGCAAGCGACCACCUGGCCGAGACCUGACGCUGAGGCACGAAAGCGUGGGGAGUGAACC
This 207-nucleotide ribosomal RNA is filed under the name uncultured bacterium. RNAcentral's name for it is "partial 16S ribosomal RNA". It matches the Rfam family "Bacterial small subunit ribosomal RNA", at positions 568 to 774 of the family's 1533-position model. The record is from RNAcentral.